CUGUGUGGAAGCUGGGAUUCCAAUGGCAGGCAGGAAAUCUUGUAGUAGGUGAUCGUGGCCUUCCUUGGGAUCCCUGUUUCCCCCUUUUAUUCCCUUUUCACCCAGUAAAACCCUGCUUUGCUCACUCUUUAAAGCAUCUGUGAGCGUAAAUUUUUGUGGCCAUGGGAUGGACAAGAACCACAUGUUUACCUGAAGUCCUGUGACAUUUUGGUGUGCAGCAUGGGAGCUCCAAAAGUGACAUUCUUUCAGAUGCCAGAGGAUGCUAUAGAAAAAUGCGUGCCCUCUUGUAAUACUUUGUUCAAGUUCUGAUCAGAAGGAUGAAUGAUGGAGCCCAAGAAGCCAGAGUCUCAUUGUGUUGCUCAGGCUGGAAUCCAGUGGCAUGAUCUCGGCUCAGUGCAACCUCCGCCUCCUGGGUUCAAGCAGUUCUCCUAGAUCAGCAUCAGCGUCCCGAGUAGCUGGGAUUACAGGCACCCGCCACCAUGCCUGGCUAAUGUUGGUCAGGCUGGCUCGAACUCCUGACCUCAAGAGAUCCACCUGCUUUGGCCUCCCAAAGUGCUCGGAUUACAGGCAUGAGCUGCCACACCCAGCCUCCAAAUACUUUUUUUUUAAAUCAAAAUAAUGAUUUCAAUGACUGAGAUCUGUUAUGUAUUUCAACAUAAUCAUGUUUCAUAAAGAUUUAGUCUUCUGAAAGCCAGUGUGAAUUGUUUUUUUUUCUACAAGUUUAAUCAAAACCAAACAAAAUCAACAAACCUCUACCCCCAAAUGUGGUACUGUUUCCUAAAAGAAUGCAUUUCCUUUUUACUUCCAUCACCAUACAUUGGUUAAUGACUUCUGCACUUAAAAUUCCUAACACACCUCACAUAGCUCUUUUGUGCAGUAACACUUUUCUUCUCUCCAAAUAUGUGGUUCAAUGGAAGUUACAUUUUUUAAAAUUAUAUUUUCCUCCUCACAACUUAUUGGUUCUAAGAUUUAUACCCUUUCCAAUGUGUAUAAGACUACUGUGAUUUUGGGACAUGGGACCAAGUGUAGCAUGUCUGAUCCUAUCUUUGAUGGCAAAUACUUCUGCUGUGAGAUAUGGGAGCUGCUGAGUGAAAAUCUUUUACUGAUAAUAAAGCCAGUUGUCAGAGGGAAGCAAAAGUAAGAGAAGAAGAGACUUGAGGUGACUUUAAUGAAAACUCCUACCUGCCAAAACUAGGCAAAAAUAUGACAUACAUAAAUAUAAAUUUCCACAAGGAAAUUUCUUUCCCACCUUUCUAUAUCUUUCUUACUCUUUAUCAUCACAUUUACUAAUAGAGAUAUUUAAUGUUCUUGAUACUCAAAGUGCAUUUGAUAUACUAUUUCUUACUCAUCUCUUCCCUACCCCUGUUUCAUAUGGGGAGCUCCAGGCAACCUAGUGGGAUGGGAAUUGGGGACUGAGAGCGAAGAAGUGUAGCAAUAGCAUUAGCACAGUAUUGGGGAAAGAGAGAGGAAACUGACAACAUUCCUUCUUCUCACUAUUGUUGUAGCUUGAGGAAGGCCUUUGCUUGGGGAGGUGAAAAUGAAGGCUCAACUACAAAAUGCAAUUUAAUUAACAAGAUGGGAAUUUUCCUCAGAUAAGAGUGACUGUUAGACUUAUUGUGCCAGAAUAAUGGCAUAAUAAUAAUGUUAUGAAGACUAUCUAAGAUUUCUCCCAGAGAAAAGAGGAAGAACAUAUCAUGGUGGAUUUCCAGGCCACAGUGAAAAAGAAUAGUUUUUUUGAAUAGUUGCGUCCUAAUGAGUUAUGUUCGUUCAAUGUAGCAGUUAGAGUGGUAUAAUAUGGGCAUGAACACACUACAGUUGUUGGCCCCAAAGAUUAAUAACAAUGGGCAUAAAACAUGGAAUAAGAUACAUAAAUACUUAUUUAUAUUGUCUCAAUUUAUGACAAUAGGAAUACUGUAAAAACUGAUACAAAGCAAGUAAUUCAAAUAAUGAUAAUUAUAACUUUAAAUCAAGAAACAGAACAAAUUGCUUAAAUUACAUGCCAGAAAAGAUGGCUAAAAAGGUUUCAGUGUCAAUAAUUAUAACAGGAAAUCUUCCUUUAAAUCAUUUUUACAAGAACAAUAAUUUUAAGCAUCUCAAACACAUGCACAUUUACAUUACCACAUACGUGCACCCUCUCAUUCUUUGGGCCAUCAUAAGUAGUAUAAUAUUAUGAUGCUUUCAUUUAUUUGUUGCACAUACACUCAACUCCUUCUAUAUUUAUGGCCUGUUGCUGGGAUCUAGGGAAAAAUGCUAUACAAAUAUGCAAUGAACUCACUCUCCAGGGGUAUAUUUCCUACUUUGGAGACAGUUAACUAACAAGGCAGACAUGAUGCAGUUUGGCUGUAUCCUCUAAGAGGUGAAGUUUUAGGACCGCAAGUAGACAGAAGGGGUUGAGGAAUGAGGAAGCAGAGCUUCUAGAUAAGGGUUUCUGCUAAAAAAAAAAAAAAAAUGUGCCGCAGAAACAGAUGGAGGUUAGGUAGGAGUACACUAAAAAAUAAAAACAAAAGAAGAACAAAGGAAUGGAACCCAUGUUUUAAGAAGCCUAGAAAGCAGGAAUAGUAUGAGUACGUUGAAGGGGAAGGAGAAAAUAGACGAGAGGCAAGCAGAGGCCAAAUCACAGCUGAUCUGGUAAUGCAUGUAAAGGAGUUUAGACUUUAAGAGUAAUAUCAUCAAGAAUAGUUUCAAGCUAUGGAACUCAAGUGGAAAUGACACUAAAAUAUUUGCUUUAUAGAAAGAUCUUUUUGAAUUUUUGAUUCCUAAAAAUAUGAUGGAAAUUCCUAUGGAUUGAAAUAACAGAUAUGCUGAAACCAAAACAAACUGCUGUGUUCUAAAUGUGUCCUCCAAACUUCGUAUGUUGUAACUUCAUUGCAUUGUGAUAGUAUUAAAGGUAGUGCCUUUAGGAGGUGAUUAAGUCAGAAGGGCAGAGUCCUCAUGAAUGAAAUUAGAGACCUCAUAAAAGAGGCUGAAGGAAGUCUCUUUUGCCCUUCUGACCAUUCAGCCAUGUGAGGACAAGUAUUUGUCCACUUAGGAGGGUACAGCAACAAAGUGUCAUUAUUGAAAGCGAGAACGGCCUGCACCACACACGAAACUUGCCAGUGCAUUGAUCUUGGACUUCCCAGCCUCAUGAACUGUGAGAAAUACAUUUCGAUUAUUUAUAAAGUAACCAGGCUAUGGUAUUUUGUUGUAGCAGCACAGAUGGACAAAGACACAAACAUAUACAAGUUUUUAAAGCAUCACUGGGAUGAUAAGAAAUUCACCAAUGCCAAAAAAAAUAUUUUAAUUAAAAAAAGAUGAAAAGAACCUUUUUAGCUUUGAUAUGGUUUGGAUAUUUGUCCCUGCCCAAUUCUCAUACCGAAGUGUAAUCCCCAACAUUGGAGGUGGGACCUGGUAGGAGGUGUUUGGAUUAUGGGAGCCGAUCCCUCAUGAAUGGCUCUGAACAUCCCCUUGGUUAUAAGGGAGCUCUCAUUUUGAGUUCACAUGAGAUCUGGUCAUUUAAAUAUGUGUGGCAUCUCCCCCCAUUCUGUCUCUCUCUUGCUCCUGUCUGGCCUUGUGAACUUGCUGGCUCCUCCUUCACCUUCCACUAUGAUUGUAGGCUUCCUUUGGCCUCCCCAGAAGCCAAGAAGAUCCCAGCACCAUGUUUCCUGUAAAGCCUGCAGAACCGUGAGCCAAUUAAACCUCUUUUCUUUAUGUAAUACACAGUCUCAGAUAUUUCUUUAUAGCAAUGCAAGAACAACCUAAUGCAAGCCCCAACAAUUUCUGUGGAAAAAUGGAAGUUCAACUCUUCCUCUUUGCAGACUGCAUACAAUAUAGCAUAUGACACACUGUGGGGAAGCAUCAAAUAAGAGACUUCUUCAUAAGAUUAGUCCUCAAAAACAGUGAUUAAAUAUAUAUUAAGCCCCUACUCCUCAGAAGUGACAGCAAAGAAAUUUGGCUUUCUCAUUUUUGGCAUUGGGUACAAGGAACAAAAUGAUGUGAUGAUAGAUAAGCAUUAGCUAGUUAUUACAGAAGAUUGCAUUCUGAAUAUGUGACUAUCUUUAAAAAGUACAAUCUGCCACAUGUAACAGAGUUAACUGGAACACUGCUUAUGUGUUAAGAAAAGUUUUAAGGUGAGAAAUUAAGUUCAGGUGGUCUCAGGUAAUCAAAUGCAAGUUCUCUCCUGAAAAACAUUACAAAACUUGGAUUAUAGGCUACAGGUAAAUUAUAUUGUGAUUUUUUUCAGUAUUUCUCAUUUCAUUUUAUAUUAUACCCUUCUAUUUUGUAUCUUAUUAGCCCUUGGAUUUAUGAAUGUGUCUGAUGAUUCAAUGUGAUGAUUUGUUAAGAUAAGGUAUGAAAUGGAAGAGGAGUAUGUUAGGCUGGUACCGAUGGAUAAUUCUGAUAAGGUUAGUGAUGAAGGCUUACAUUCUGCCGAGCCAUGUAGUGGUGUGGAAAGGGACACAUAAAAUCUCCUUUUCCAACAAAAUCUCUCAGUGAAUUUUACUUGAGCUGAUAGUCCAACCUGGCAUAUGUCUUUCUGUCUUCUCUGACAAACUCAAAAUGCAACAUUAUUUCCAGGAAAAUUAAAGACACUAAUUUCAAAUCACAGUCAUUGGAUAAAUGAUGGUACUGAUUGUUCUAUACAACUAUUAGAAUCUACAAUAUAAUGUUUGUUGAAAAGUACAUCCUGUGAAAAGGAUAUAAGUUAUGUAUCAGCAGAAAAUAUUGUCCAGAAAAGUCACACAAAUGGUCAAAACCUAAUAAUGCCAGCAUGUAAAAAUACACUGAGAUAAUUGCUGAGAAAAGAUGCUGAAGAAAAAUUUGAAAAGAUUCUACUUUUAAGGAGUAUCAUCAAGGCAUUGAUGAUAUGUUACAAUAUAUUGAAGAGGUUUUGUGUAAUAAACUGAAAAACCAGAACCCUAAUAUCCAAGUUGAUGAAUAGAUUUCACCAAUAAAUGGCAUUCUGUAGUAUUUGUAAUAUUUGUAAAUGAUAAUAAAAUUCACAGUAACAUUCCCUGUGCAAAGAGUGGUCUGAAACAAGCAAAGGACUAGAUAUAUUUAAUGUAUUAUCUUUAUAUCUGAAACAGAAGUUCUAUCUUCGAUGGGUUGUAUUAGCAUUUGCACUAGGUACUCCAUCAAUAGUUGGCUCCUUGAAGAUUUUACCUCUUGUAUUAAGCCAAAGUCCAAAUACUGUCAUCAAACAAUACUUUGUUCACAAACUGGUGCUAGUGUAAAGAAAGUCAUGGAAAGGAAAGAAUAAAAGUUCAGAAAUACCACAAAAAAUGGUCAAUUUUAUUAAACCCAAACCAGCUUGCUUAAGAAUCUUUUAAAAAAUGUAUAAAAACCUGGGCAAACAUCACACACACACACACAGACACACACACACACCUCCUGCUGCAAAAAGGAAUUCAGUGGCUUAAUGGAGGGAGAAAGUUCCCGAUAGGAUGUUUCAGCCGAACAAGAAUUAGAGAAGCACUGUCAAAAAAAAAUGUAGGCCGAAUUUUGCUGAGCACUUUAAAGAUGAAAAAUCGCUGCAGAAACCAACUUAAUUGGCAGACAUUUUCAUCACAUGAUCCAGUUUAACAAGUCUUUGCAAGGAUCUGGAUAUAUAUAUAUUUUUACUUUAAAUGCAAGAUUUCUGUAGUUAAAUAAGAAAAAUCACAUAUUUAGAAAUAUCAGUUGCAUUUAAAAAAUCAUGUUACAAAAGAGAAUCUUGAAAUAUUUUUACCACUACUUGGGCUUAGACUGAGAAACGACACGAGCAAAGCCCAAACUUUUUUGAAAAUCAUCUAGAGAACUCCAGAGUAAUACUGAACAGUAUUUUUCUUCCCUCUCAACUCAAAGUAUAUAACAGAAUAAUAAACACUUUCUCUGUAAUUUCUUUUCAGCCUGAGACCUUAGCUUUGAAAGAAGAGGAAGAGGCCGGGAGCCAUAGUUCAUGCCUGUAAUCCCAGCAAUUUGGGAGGCCAAGACAGGCAGAUUGCUUGAGCUCAGGAGUUGGAGACCAGCCUGGGCAACAUGGCGAAACCCUGUCUCUAUACAAAAUACAAAAAUUAGCCAGGUAUGAUGGUGUGCGCCUGUAGUCCUAGCUACUCUGGAGGCUGAGGUGAGAGGAUCACUUGAGCCUGAGAAGUUGAGGCUAUAGUGAGCCAAGACCGUUUCACUGCACUCCUGUACUCCAGCCUGGAUGACAAAGUGAAAUCCUAUCUCAAAAAAAAAAAAAAAAAAGAGGAAUAACUUAAUGAGCUGCAGUGUGACCACACAAUCAAGAUUAGAGUUACUAUUCUGUCUCUAGACACCUUCUACAUUUCUAUAGAAGAAAAAGAAUCUCCCUCCAGUCAGAAGGCACUGAAUACUUUGAUGCAGUUUUUAACUUCUAACAUGUGUAUGCAACCUUCUACUUGUUUAAAAAGGCAUUGGGAGCAACUACAGAAAUUGUCUCAUUCAGUUUAAAAUGAAACUAAUGUGUGUUUAUUGCAAGUUUGAACCAGCAUUGAGCGACUAUUUAGCAAAGAAACAUAGGCACAGUUUUCAUAUAAAUUUAAUUAUUUAUAUUUGAUUCCAAAAUAACUUUUAGGCAUAUAUAGAGUUAUGAAAAAGUUUAUGUAACCAACACAUGUGCAUAACAGUUUGAUAACUGAUAUAUUGAAUCUAAACAUACCACUCAGAAAAUAUUUUUUCCAAAGAUAUGUUAAAUUAUAUUUUAGGCCAUAAUUUUAAUCAUAUGUCUUUGGUUUACAGUUUUAGUAGUUUUAUCAUUCAACCAUAUCAACCCAUUUCAUGUUGUAAUAACAUCAAAUAAUAUCCAAUUAGAAUCACCAUUUAUAUAUUUUCUUUAUGAGUUAUACAUCUUGAAAAGGAAGGAAAGAAAUUAAUGGGCAGAAAGGUAAAUUAAGCUUAAUACCAGAUUUUACUCAAGAAAGUUUGGCUGACAGGUCAAUUCUGGUUUUAAGAAGGGGAAAAGAAAAAAGAAAACUUUUUCACAUACUUUAUGGUAAUAUCCUUAUUAGAACUCUGUAUAGUAAAACUCUAUGUUAAGUCUUUCAGAAAAACUUGAAUUGAGUUGAAAAAAUAAGUAGGAGGUGAAAUUUUUUUUAAAGGAAGAAAAAUUUGAGUUGUUUUAUAUAUAUAUACUAUUACCUUAGUAGAUGGUAGAGAAAAAUAUACAAAAAAUGAUAUAAGUUGUCCAACAUAAGCAGAUCUGCAGAAAAUAGAUUAUUCUCUAUUCAAAAAAUAAGAGGCAACUAUUAUUGGACUAAUAUAUCUAAAAUUUAUUAUUCAUGCUAAUAUAUUAUGCAAUGUAGAUAUAACAAUUUUUUUUUGCAGAGGUUCCCUGAGACAUGUAAAUAUUUUCAAGGUUUUCUCCAAGGUAAAAAGUGAUUGAGAAUGAGUGCUGUAAUAUAUGUAAAUGUAAGCAUAUCACAUUAAAUGAAAGCAAAAUAAAUGAAAUAACCUUCUUUCAAAAAUGAAGUUCAGACUGUUGUAAGUAUGAAAUAUAUGGAUAUACUGUUUUCAAGAGUCAAGCCUAAAAUGUAAAGGAACGGAAAAUUAAAUUUCAAAAGUUAGAAAUGUAUGUGUAAAGCAUAAACUAAGUAGAUGAUGCUGUUGUAGUUAAAUUAAUAUCAGAUUAAAAACCACACAAACAAAAUUAUGAUAAAGUUAAAAAGGAUCACUACAUGAAGAUUUAAUGCAUAUCUAAGUUGAACAGUUCUAAAAUUGAAUACAGCUGUUCAUAUAACUUAAUUUAAUGAAAAAUUUGCCAAAAUUUUAAGAAAGUGUGGCCAAAUCUAAAAAUUGAGUGGAUGCUUUUAAAAACACAUUAUAGAAAUGGAUGAAAUUGACAAAAAUAAUCAGAACGAAUACAACAGACAUUACCAGCAUAAUUAACAGGACAGAACUAAUGUCACUCACUGAGUAGGAAAUACACACGAUUGAAGACUAUUCAAAAAACAUUCUGAAAACUGAUAAUGUAAUGGUUCAUAAAGCUAGCAGCAACAAAUGACAAGGAAUUUUUAUGACAUAUAGAAUAAAUUAUCUGAUCACAAUAUAUAUUUACUCCCAUUCUAUAUUCCAAAAGAUCUAUAAUUCAAUUCCCAGUUCAGGUGGAAUUCCACAGUUCCAUUUCAUUUCCAAGAGAAAAGAGUGCAUAUUUACCAAAUACGUAAACAAUGAUGUUCAUAGAAGAUAAAUACCUCAGAGCCAAAGAGCUGGAAAUAAUCUAAUAUUCAUCAACAAUAACAUUGAUCAAUAAAUUGUGCUACAUUCAUACAAUGUGAUACUGUACAGCUACAAGAUUGAACUACUGGUACGUGAAACAACAUGGAUGAAUCUCACCAGUGAGAUAAUAAAUGAAAAAAGUUAGAUACCAAAGAGUGUAUACUGGUGUGGGGAGAGAUUGAGGCAUGAGAUCAACUGGAAAGAGGCUUUAAGGAAACUUACGGGACACUGUAAAUCAUUUAUCUAUUGGUCUGAGUGGUAGUUACAUGGAUUAAAAUAGUGGUAUGUAGAUACAUUUAAAUUUGUGUCCAUCCAGUUGAGCACCUUAGGAAUAUUAUACUGUAUUACAAAUAAACUCAUUAACUAAAGAAGAAAUCAUAAUAAAAUUUAGAAAAUAUUGAGAAUUGAAUCAAAUAAAAAUACUAGGUAAAAAUGUAUAGAAUGCAGAAAAGCUCAGAAUUAGUGAGCUAAGCAACAACAUGAAGAGUUUAGAGGCCAGGCAAGGUGGCUCACUCUUGUAAUCCCAGCACAUUGGGAGGCCGAGGUGGGUGGAUCAUGAGGUCAGGAGUUCGCAACCAGCCUGGCCAACACAGUGAAAGUCCAUCUCUACUAAAAAUACAAAAAUUAGCUGGGCGUGGUGGUAGGCGCCUGUAAUCCCAGCUACUCGGGAGACUGAGGCAGGAGAAUCACUUGAACCCUGGAGGUGGAGGUUGCAGUGAGCUGAGAUUGUGCCACUGCACUCCAGCCUGGGCAACAGAGCUAGAUGCCAUCUCAAAAAAAAAAAAAAAGAAAGAAAAAGAAUUUAGAAUAACUCAAAGUAGAAUGUGAUUAAGAUAAGAGCAAAUAACAUAAUAGAAAACUACAUUAAUCAUAAUAUAAAACUAUAACAUAUUAAUCAUAAUAGAACAAAUUUACCAAAAUCUAAUCAAAAAGAAAUACAAAACUGAAUAGUUCUAUAAUCAUUUAAACAGUGCGAUUGGUUAUUGAAAAUAUUUCUAGAUAUAAGUGUCAGUCCCAGAAAGUUUCUUAGAGAACUUCUUUCAAACCUGGAAGGAAAUAAAAAUUAUAAUUUUACACAAAUUCUCCCAGGAAAGAGAAGAGAAGGGACACCUUUCAAUUCAUUUUAUUGGACAAACAGAAUGGUAAUAUUAGACAAAGACAGUAAAGGAAAAAUAUUGAUCAAUCACUUUUAUGAGUAUAGAUGCAAUACCAUAAACAAAUUAACAAGCUAAUUCAUCAAUGCAUUAAAAACAAUGCAUUUCGAUCAAAUUGAGUUCAUAAAAGGAAUUCCAGGUUGGUUUAACAUCAGUGAAAAAACAUUAAUUUAUUACAUAAAAUCAUUAAAGUAGGAAAUAAUAUUAUCAUCACAAUAUACAGAAAAUUUAUUCAGCGGAAGUCACUAUGUAUAAUGAUUUUUUAAAGUGCUUGGAUAACUAAGGCAUGAAGAAUGUCUUUAAGUUGAUAAAGGGUUUCUAUAAAAUAUCUAUAGGAAGCACCAUUUUUAUAGAUCUUUUUUUUUCUAUCAGAUAGCGACAGUGGCAUUUUAAAUUCUCCCAUUAUGGUAAUUGAUUUAUCUAGUUCUCCUAGUUAAAAAUUCUAUCAAGUUUGGCUUUAUAUAUCCUAGGAGAAUGUUAAUAAGUCCAUGAAAAUUGAGAAUUAAAAUUUUUUAUCCUUUUGAAAUAUCCCUUUUAAAAAAAUUGAAACUGUCAGCUUUAUUUUGGAUAAUAUUUGUUUGUUCUUUUUUUUUACUUUCUUUAAUUUCUGUAAAAUUCUGUAUCUUAGUUUGUGCAGUAAUUAGUAUGAAAUUGGGUUUGAUUUUACUUUAAACCAAUAUGAUGAUAUGUGUAUUUUAUUUGGAGUUUCAAAAUUCAUUUACCAUUAAUAUAAUAAUUAUUGUAUCUAGCUUAUAUUUAACAUCCUGUCAAUGUUUGAUUUUUGUUUCAUAUAUUUGCCUGUUUUCCGCUACUUUAUCAGCUAUUUCUGUAAUGACCAGUAUUGUUAUUAUUAGUACCAUUAUUAUUCAGUAUUUCUUCUCCAUUAGUGUUUUAAUUAUACUUAGAUAUACUAUAGUUUCAGGGAUUAUCUUCACUAUUACAUUAUUCAUCUUGACAUUAAAAUCUAAUGCAAUUAGUACUUUAACUUUUUCCUGGAAAAUGCAAGAAUGUAAGAAUCAUUUGACUGAAUUAAUUCUCCUACCCUUUGUGAUAUUGUUGCCAUGCAUUUUAUUUCAUUACAUAUUAUAAACUUCAGAAGACAUGAUGAUGCAGUCAAUAAGUUUUCAUAUUUAUAUUUACUUUUACCUUUGCUUCUCAUUUAUUUCUUGAUUCCUGUGUUCCAUUAUGGAAUCUUUUUAUUUCUGCCUGAGAAAAUCCUUUAGUAUUUGUAUUAGUCAGGAUGCAGUUAGGGAAUAGAAAAUAUAUUAGUAUUUAAAGAAGGAAAAAUUCAGUAUACAUAUUUGUUAACUAUGGAAAGGGGUAAAAAAGAAUACUGAAUGGUUUUAAAGUCACAAAUGCAGGAAACAACUACCACUUCUAGAGCUAAGAGAGUGUGAAUCAGGAAGGAACUAAGAACUUAGACGAGGUCCCCUGCUAAUAGAGAUUCAGGUAUUUCUGGCAAGGGCAAGAACAUGCAGACUGCUAGUGGUAAAGAAACAUGCUGAAGUAAGUGCACGUGAUAGUGAAGAUCUUUCCAGAGACCAUGGUCAUAGGUGUUGUACAGGAGUAGCCUGCUAGGUGAUGAGAAAACAUCCUGAAUGUUGACCGCAGCUUGUCCAUAUGAACCACUGGUGUGAGUGCCACCAGGCUUGCCACAUGCUUCUGGAUUGGCUGUCACGUUGAAAAGCAGCACAGCAGAUAGAAGAAGAAAGCUCUUUUCUACUUGUCUCCUUUCACAGUGUCCUUCCAGGAAUGUCUUAAACCAGCUAGCAAAGGAAGAAUGUCUGUUAGGUUCAGUUCUAGUAUCACAAAGAAAGGUAAAGAAGAGUGAAUGAUGAGAUGAGAGGCAUUUUUCAGAAUGGGCAUAAUCUACCCCUUCACCUCUUCAUCUUCCAGACACAUCCUUCAUGUAGUGUGAGUUUCCAUACAGCAGGCAAACAACUCUAUAAUUCCAUCGAAUAAAAAGUUGUUAUCCUUUUUGUAAGUGCAAAGUCCUUUUUCUCUCACAAAAAUGAUGAGGCCCAUGGUCCUAAUAGCCCAUCAUUUGCUAUAUUAUUCACUAAUCAAAUUCAGUCACAAUCCCACUGAAUAUUGUUAUCUAAAGACUACAUUAUAAAAUUAUCCACCAAUAUGUUGUAUAUAAAAUAAAAAGAAAAAUGGGAAAGAAGAGAAUAUAAUUAAUAUAAUCUAAUACAUAUACAUGUAACAAGGAGAAACAGUAAAAUUAACUAUAGUUCACAUUUUAAUAACUGGUCAUGACUAUUAUUAAUAUUUAUGACUUUUCUUCUACAAGCUUUGCCAUAUUCCCUUGCUCUCAGAAAAAUACUGCAGCUGGCCAAGAUUUUGUUAGGUGGGGUAACCCAAACUGUUAUUCUGAAAGGGCUAUUUUCAAAAGUCCUACUUUUUUUGUUUGUUUAUACUAUCAUUAAUCUUAACUUUUGGAUGUGAAAGUACUAAGAGGUAUCCCUAGAGACUCCCAGGAGUUCCACAUGGAUUCCUCUUCGCCUCCAUUGUAAAACUGCAAAUCUAUUUCAGCUUCAUAAUCAUUAUCAUUAUGACUAUGAUAUAUAAUCAUAUUCAUAUAAUUAUGAAUAUAAUAAAUCAGAAGAAUAACCACUUUCUGUAUUUGUUAAGUCGAUGACAUAAGGAGCACAAAAUGUCCAGGAGGCAUUCUCAUGUGUCAAUUCAAUGGAAACAAUGUGUAUCUGAGUAGUAGCAGUCUUCCUUUAGGAAAAAAAAGAAUUCCACACUAGCAGAACUCAAAGUUCUUGAUACAAGAACCAAAAUUUUCACAAAUAGACUAUUAGGUAUGCUAGUGAGGAGUCUUUCCCACUUCCUCUCCUUAAUUCUCAGACCCAUGUAUUCCGGCAAUAAAGGAGACAGGAACAUAAAAUGGUUUCUGAUUGAGUUUAGCAUUGUCUUCCAACUGUCACUGUAACUGAGUCCUCAGGAAGCCAAUUCUAUCUUUCUAUUAAGCCAGUGACUUCUCAGGUAUGUGCAAAUACAAGUAAACUAUAUGAGCAUAAGCCAAUUGCUUCACUUCUUUUUCUAUAAAAUAAAUUUCUUGAUAAGAAGCAAUUUUAUGCAGUAUAUAAUGAUGGUAGAUAGGUAGUCCAUAAGUCAACUGGAUGGCAGAGCUGGCAGAAGCAUUACUGGGAGAUAAAGCAAAUCUGCGUCUGUAUGCAGAAUAAGUGCAUACCCCAGAGAGGCAGAAUCUCUGCUCCCUUUGUGAAGAAGAAGUUCAAUGUAAUCAACCUGCCAUCAGGUGCCUGAUGGUACUCCUGGGGUAUGGUGUCAUAACUGGGUCUCAGCACUGGUUACUACUAGAGACAUUUUAGGUACUUAGCAUUAGUAGUAGCAAGGUCAGCUUUGGUAAGAGGAAAAACAUAUUUUUAAACUCAUUAGUAGUCUUACUCCUGACAGUAUAGACACUUUGUUUAUAGUCCCAUUGAGCAAAUACUGUGGUUGCCUGAGAAAGAAGUUUACUGAUAUUCACAGUGUCAUUGUGUCCACUUGAUUACUGAGAGCCUUCUCAACAAUGGAUGUUCCUUAGUGUUUAUUCAUAUGAGAUAUAAAUAUCUUCAAAUCUGGGCUCAUUCUGAAAGCUCUAUCCUCUUCCCUAGAUUUCCAAUUUUCCAAUAUUAUUCUUUCCAAGUCUCUGACCUUUCAGCCAAACUCUUAACAACUGCCUGUGAAUCAGAGCACAUUUUUUUCCUGGCCAAAUAGAGUGGCCAAUGAAAGUAAAAUAAAAUUGUACCGUUCAAGAUUCUGCACACUGGAAGGAUUUUCCUUUAUGACUCUGCUUCAGAAUCACCCCUGGGGAGGGUUGUAAUUUCUCAGCCAUCUACUUCUGGAUGGGAUCAUAUCAUGUAGAUCCAUCUUUUAACUAGGCUCAAGUUUUAAUUUCUCAUUCAACUAAUUGUAAAGAACAUGAAGGCUUAGGCAAUGGUGAAAGGAGAAGUUAGUGUAGCAGGAGUCAGUAUCAAGAAAGUGUGAUCUACUUGCUCAAUUUACUUGUACCUUUCAGACAUGCCUGAGCCUAGUCUCUUAUAUGUAAAUAUUUUUAGUUGAUAAUAUAUUCCUACUGUGCAUGAACAACUUUUUGGCUGUGGGUCAGAUAAUACCAGUUAGUGAUAGGUAUCUCAGGCUGAAGGGUCAUCUGAUACUACCAUGGUUAGGACCUCAGUCUCUUCUAAGAGCCAGUAGCAAACAUGAUGCUCUUUCUCCACUUUACAUCGCUAUAAUUUUCAUUUAUUUUUCCAUACGUUCUCAUUCUUUCUCGAAAUGUUUCAGCUAGUUUUCUGUAUUUUUAAACAUUUUAAACAUGAUCAUAUAAAUUUUGGUGUCUAUUACUCAGCUUUGGACAUUUAGAAUUUGAGGACCAUGGAUUAUCAAAGUACAAAUGUUUAAAGGUUAUUUUAUAUAUAUAUAUAUAUAUAUAUAUAUAUAUAUAUAUCUUUAGUUUUGUAAAUAGAAAUGAAUAGGAGAUAAAGAUUAUUGAGUUAUUAAUAUUAAUGCAGAGACAGUAAUUGAGGCCACUGGAAGGAAUUAGCUCUCCAAGAAAAAGUAGGUGGAAUAAGAAAAGAGAACAUAGGAUAUAAUUUUGAGAAAUACCCAUAUUUAAUGUUCAGGGAGAAAAGACAUUAAGAGAAUAACCAAAGGAAGAAAAAAGUAAUCAGAAGAACAUCUCACCAAAAGUUAGGAAGUAGAAUAUUUUUUGAAGGAAGAAAUAUUCAAUCAAUAAUGUUAGACUGGGAAAGAAGUCCCAGAAUUGUUCAAUAACUUUUGGUGACAGUCUCUGGAGUCUAGCAGUUAUAAAGUGUGGGUUUUGAAGCCUACUGAUUGGACACAAAUACUGACUCUACCACUAAUAAUUGUGUUAUCUAGUUAAGCUGUGUGUAUUUCAGUGUCAGUUCUUAUGGAGUAUUAAAUUAAAACAUGUAACUAAUUAGAACAAUGCCUGGUACAUGGGAAACCAUAACAUGUUGUUAUUAUCAUCAUCACUUUUGUUACUAUUCAUUUUAUUUUGGCAAAAGUGACACAUUGUAGUGAUAAUGGGCAGCAGAUUGAGGAAUACAUAAAGCAUUAGUGGAAACAGAGUAGACUGUAUUUUUCAUGAACUAUUAACAUAUUUGACUGGGAAUGGUAAGACAUGAAGUGGUGAUGGAGUUAAAAUAAGAUAUUUCUUUUUUUUUGGAUAAACUUGAGAAUUUUUACUUUCUGAAGGGAAAUAAUCAGUGGAGGGAAGGUUGAAAAUAGAGAAGGGAAGAACAAUCUAUAGCAAAAAAGUUCCUGAGAACACAGAAAGAUACCACAAUGCAAUAGGUAAAGGGAUUUGUUUAGGUAUAAGGAGGGAAGCUUCUUUAUUGAGUCUACAGAUGUGCAAGAAGGUUAGAUAGUAUGCAGAUAGAUUAUUAAUGGCAAAUUGGUAUUAUUAAACAUUAUUUUAUACUUUUUAUUCUACUGAUCAGUGUAUAUUUAAUUUAUUCUUAAAUUAUAUAUUUAUUUAUUUGAUCAUUUGUUGGUUCUUCAAGUCAUUAUUUAGCAAAUGUUUCCUGAGUACUUAGUAUUUGCCCAAGAUAAUGUUAGCAAAUAAGGAUAUAAAAAUCUUGAGAAUUAUAGUCUGUGAAUUAACGGAGAGGCCAAACUAGCUGGAAAGAAGCAUAUAAAGAGUAAAGUCUGAAAUAUGUCGAGAGCUGUGAGAGAUAAAUACAGAGUGUUGUAGAAGCCUAGAAUGGAUUGGGUGGGUUGGUGAGUGGUUUGAAGCACAGGAGUGGAAAGCAAAGCUCCUUUUCUUGGUUCAUAAGCCAAGGAAAUGCAAAAUGCUUUUAAGUUUGGCAACUGACUCUGAUUUUCCAACAGUGUUUUGUGGAAACUUGGGUUAAUUUUGGAUCUCCACAAGUUGCUGCAGAGGCAAGUAGAAAAUUACGUAGCAGAACACAGCCCUCUGACCCAUUCAGUUCAAGUCUAUUUGGAUCUUUUUCAUAAAUGAGGUCCUGUGUAAGAUUUUGGUGUAACAGACAUUUCUGCUAUUUAAAUAAAAACACAUUUAACACGUUUGCCUUAAUAAUUUUUUGAAGGAAAAUCUGAUGGAGAAUCAAUAGUUAAUAGACUCCACAGAUAAAUUUUUAAAGAUAUUUGAUGAUUAUUUCUGGUUUCAAAAAAUGCAUAUGAUUAUUUCUUAUGACACAGGCAAUAAAAGCUUAUCUUUCUUUACAAAGAAUCUGUAAGUUUUAGGAAAACUGAGACAUAGAGAACAAGAUAUGCUCUUUAAUAUGCUUAGUAUGUUGAUAAUGUUGUCCAUUUAAAAUAAAUUAUACAUGCAUAUGAAAAAUUUGAGGAAAUACAAUUCCUGAAACAUUUUUAGCGCAUGAAAUGUUGAGAGUUUUAGCAUUCUUUCUAAAAACAUUUCUGAGCAAAGAAUGCAAAAUACAGCUGGAAAAUUAUUAUGCUGAAAUGUUGAUUGCAUGUUUUUAAAAGAGACAAAAAUAAAGUAAAUGUGCUAACCAGGAAGUAGUGUUAGCAACAAUCCCAAGAAGAAAGAAUGUGAAAUGCAGAAAAGAAGUAGUAAUUAGGAUUGUGAGUCAUUAUAAUGUUAAAAUUGAAAAUUGAAUCAUAUUAAAGUUAUUAAAGUCAAAACUUAUGGUUCCUUAGUAGCAUUAUCCGAGUCAUAUUACCCAUAUGUACUAUUUUCUCUUCCUGUUUGGUUUAUUUUGCCUCUGGUCUUCAGCCAUUAACGCAAAAUGAAUUAAAAUUAUAUUGUUCUGUUUUUCAAAGAUUGCUUUUUUGCUUCUUCAUUAAAAAAUGAGAUUAUAAAAAUGUCUGUCAGACCAUUCACCUUUCAGUUUCUUGACAUAAAUGUGUUUAAGAACUAUAUUUUGAAGACUAUUUUUUUUCACUCGGUACUUCAGUUUUUUUACUUACAUUUACAAUGUGCAAAAUUUCAGGAAUGGCAGGUAAGAGAGAUAAGUGACUAAAAUAAGAUGGAUUUGAUCACCCUUUCCACAUUAAGAAAGACAUUGAAAUUGCUUCAUUUGGGCAUGUAAACAGACAAAAAAGCAAACAGGGAAACAACUUUUUUUCAUUGUCAUCCCUGGACUCCUUUCUGUUUCGGCACAAUACAUUUUUUUCUUCUUUAAUGUUUUUGAGGAGAAGAAUCAUUAUAAUCUUAAUAGUUCAGUAAAUACUUGUUUACUUCCUCAGUUGCUAGACUCUUAGGAGAAAAAGUGAUUUUGACAAUGCUUAGGAAUAAAAUAACCGAAUACUACUUAAGUGUUUCUGCGGUGCUUUAUGGGCUGGCAAAUGGUCAGUUACACACACAAUGCCACAGCUUUCUUCUGACAUAAGCUUUUCAUUAUUCUCCCUUGCUGUGUGUUGUGUCUCUUCUUUGUUUCUUUCUUUUUUUUUUGAGACGGAGUCUCGCUCUGUCACCCAGACUGGAGUGCAGUGGCUCGAUCUCGGCUCACUGCAAGCUCCGCCUCUUGGGUUCACGCCAUUCUCCUGCCUCAGCCUCCUGAGUAGGUGGGACUAAAGGCGCCCGCCACCACGCCUGGCUAAUUUUUUGUAUUUUUAGUAGAGACAGGUUGUCACCGUGUUAGCCAGGAUGGUCUCGAUCUCCUGACCUCGUGAUCCGCCCGCCUCGGCCUCCCAAAGUGCUGGGAUUACAGGCGUGAGCCACCGCGCCCGGCCUUGCUGUGUGUCUCAUCUAGCAUCGUUGGCGGGGCUCACAAUAGCGCAUCUGAUUUUAUGCAUAGCUUACUAUCUUUCAACAUGCUGAAGCAGCAGGAGUUGAAAAAAAAAGGAGAGUGUUAAUGGAAUAUAGGAAAAAGAAGGAGGAAUCAGCAGAAAGAAAAAGAGAAAGGUACCACCGACGAUUCUUUUAGGGCCCCUGGUUCCUUUAAUUUUCCUUUUUGUUUCUCAGUGAUCUGACAUCAAAGACCCAGGCUAGACGUAGGUCUGGCUAAAUUUAUCUGAUGACGUGAUCAGUUCCAGCAUCCUUUAAGUUUUGUGGAAUAAAAAGUAAAUAAAAAGAUUUGAAUCAAUCAGAUACCUGCUGAAAUUAACCAGUCAAUUUAUUUAAACGGUUCAUUGAGCAGUCCGGUGACGUGACAAUCACACAGCUAGUGGGAAAAUGAAAGAAAAAGAGCGGUCGGCUGGCUAGUUUUUAUAUAUGAUGACAAUCAUUCAACUUGAAGUCUCAUUUGUUCUUCCCUUCACAGUUUGCCAGACCUGACUGGUUAUUUUCGUAACAGAAAGACAUAGACAUAGUCUCUGCCAAAUCUGCUUCACGAUCAAGUUUAGUGAGUCAAGCAAGACUAUUCAUUGAGCAUUCAUAAGUGCUAUGACAAGGAGCUACAGAUUUUAGGAAAUAUGAUUAUUCAAUAAAUUAGACAUAGCCACACUCCUCAAUCAUCAUUCCAAAGGAGGAUAUAAGACAACUGCACAUAAAUAAUUAUCAAGAACACUGCAAGGAAGAAAUUAUAAUAGAAGAGAAAUUUAGUUGAAAUGUUAGUGAUCUUAUAAUCAAUUUACAGCUAAAUUCAAGAAUUCCUCUUAAACUACGUCAGUAAUCCUCAAGUGUGUGCAUAUUUGCAAAUCAUAAAUUUGUAAAGAUAUUUCUAAAUCUAAACAUUAAGAGAAGGGGGGAUAAAACAUUGUGGAUAUGAAAGAUAUCCUACCAUUGAUAAAAUAUUUGAUCUUGUGACACGAACAACACCCACAAUACAAAAUAUACAAGAAAUUUUUAUUAUCCAAUAAAAUGACAACUGGGUGAUGUCAGAAAAAGAUAAAUUGAUAUAGAAAUAUUUGUGGAUUGAUAACUCAAAAAUUCUCAAUUGGAAAAAUUCUACUAUAAUACUUGGUUCUUGGAAAUGUGGCCAUUCAAUUAAUUAAGCACUGGAAGAAUUGCUUUUUGCAAAUUAUUACUAAGUGAUUCAUUUUUGCUUCACUUGCCUGCAUACCAGGAACAUACUACAUUCUGGGGUAUUCAGUUUUUCUUAUACUGAAAGUUUCCUCUCUUUUGAUUCUACUUUAAGGUCUCAGUUCUAUUCCUAAUAAGAUGGUAGUGACUACCUCUGUAUGUUUACUCAUAUACCAUAUUGUAUCUAAUCUAUAGCAUACCAUAUAACUGAUGUUAUUAUGAGGAGUGGAGCCACAUCAAGUGAUGCUUUAGAAAUGUAUAUGGAUUUUUUGGUUGUAAAAGUGUAUUGGGAGUAACCGCACACAUUUCACUGGGGGAUGGCUGGGGUACCAGAUGUCCUGCAGUGCAUAAGUUCAUCAUAUAACAUGAAGAAAAACUUUUCAGCCCCUGCAAGACCUUUUGACCUCUUUUGAACUCCUGUCAGUUAUUCAUGCAAAGUCGAGUGAGGAGACUCUGUAUUAUUUGGACCAAGAACCAAAUUAUCUUUUACUUAUAAACAAAAUAAUUUGUACUGUUUUAAUUUAAAUUUUCCAGAAAACAACUAUAAGGUAAAUUUAAAAAAGAGCAUACUUUGUUGUUUGAAAUUUCACCAAAAUAAAAUUGCAUCAUCAAUAAGAAUGUCACUUUAGUGUUUGAGGGAAUAAUUCCAAACUGUACUUUUCUGUAUUUGUAGUUACUAGGUUUGUAUUUAUUUUAUGUAUCACUGUGAUCUUCUGACCACUCAACUGUACCUCAUAUACUUUUAUGCUUUUUAAAUCUGUAAACGUAUCAAGAGAUUUUAAAAACUGAAAAUGCAGAUGGAAACCUGCAUUUUAUUUCUAUUCUCCUUGUUGGGAAUGUUUUCUCAUAAUAGUUCCUAAAAAUAACUACUAUGGCGUUAAUCAUUUAUAAAAUAAGAUAAUGAUCAUUUUAUAUACCCCCUGUACAUAUUGACUUAAUAAUGUCUGUAAGACUUAGAUUUAAAGCAAUGCAAAGAAAGAUUCAAAUGAAGGCAGUGUGGGCAUGGUGGUUCUACAUUUUUUUGAGUGGAACUUCAUUCAUUAAGUAUUUUAAUUUCAUUAACUUUAAGACUUUAUGAGAAUUAGAUACUAGUUAUGAAAUGUGAAUCAGCUGUCGUAGUUUUCAAUUUGGAGGCUUUACCAUCAACCCAUUAAGAUCAUUGAUCCUUUUGUAUUCACAGUAAAAAGAGCAGUAUCUGACUUAAAUUAGCUUUCCCUUUUCUUUGAAAAGUAACAAAAAUAAGAGUGUAGUGUUCAAAUAAAAUUGACCCCAUGAAAAUCUCAUAAGGUUUGUCCGGAAACAUUUUUAGCCAUUUUCAACAGUAUUCAACUGCUCCUUUUACAGGUCCUUUUAUAUAAUAAUCAAUAUAUGCAUAGAGAAUUGGUACCAAUUCUCUUAUUUCAAGCUAGCAAGAAAAACAGAUCAAUAAAUCAUGAACUUUCUUUGCUGCUUCUUUCAACUUUAACAAAACAAUUUUUCCAACCACUAAGCCAGUAGCCAAUAUUGUGAUAAAGCUGUUUCUAAGUUCAGAAUGUUCUGAGAUUGAUACAGACCCCAGAGUACACUUAUUUAUUUCUAAAUACUAAAAAAAAAAAUUAUAACUGGUAUUCUUGAACUCCCUCCUAACAUCAGGAAAUAAUGCAUUUAUUUCAUUAACAAAUGUAAUAAUUAGCAGGUGAAAAUAAAGUAUUUGCAUCAUUUCUUCUUUUAAAGAGACUGUGAUAGUAAUAGAAACUUGAUUAGCUGCAGCCUAUAAUCUAGAAAAGUUAGUUGAAUUUAAUAACCACAAUUAAUUACUGUAGUUCACCAAUAUGGUUUAUAAAUAUGGGAAAAUAUUCCCUGAUAUAGAGAGUACUACAAAUAAAUAUGUUAUAGCUCACUUUCCACAAAUGCUUAACUAUAUUAAGAAAGCCAUUUCAUUUAUCUGACACUAAUUUUUUCUAGCCUUCAAAGAUGGUAUUUGAUUAAAUGUUCUCUAAAUUUCUUUCCCCUUUAAUAAUCUGUUACAGUCUCUGUUUAGACUGAAAUUCAGUUUAGAUUAUAGGACAAUUAGGUUGAUUCUUAAUCAGUGGAUCAAAACUUCCAGAUUAAAUAAAUUGGAUAUUGUUGUGUCUUUUGGAGGAAGACAUACAAAGAAUAAUCAUCAAAAAGUCAAGAGACACACAACUUUAACAGACAGUAAACAUAGUACAUAUGAAAAAUGGAAGUCUAUGUGACCUCUUCAUUGAAACUAUAAUUGAAAAGUAUAACAUGCAUAAUCAAUGAUAAAUUUCUAAGUAUGGUGAUAUGGUUUGGCUAUGUGUCUUCACCCAAAUCUCAUGUCGAAUUGUAAUCCUCAAUAUUGGAGGAGGAGGCCUACUGGGAGGUGAUUAGAUCAUGGCAGCAGACAUCCCCCUGGCUGUUCUCAAGACAGUGAGUGAGUUCUCACAAGAUCUGGUGUUUAGAAGUGUGUAGGACUUCCCUCUUUACUCUCUCUUCCUCCUGCUCCAGCCAUGUAGGAUGUGCAGGCUUCUCCUUUGCCUUGUGACAUGAUUGUGAAUUUCCUGAGGCCUCCCCAGCCAUCCUUCCUGUAUAUCCUGUGGAACCGUGAGCCAAUUAAACCUCUUUCUUUAUAAAUUACCCAGUCUCAGAUAGUUCUUUACAGCAGUUUGAGAAUGGACUAAUACGUAUAGUAAAGGAAGACCUAGAAAAGAAAAACUGCCUUAAAAAGGCCUAGAGAUUUUAGAAGACCACAAGACCAAUACCUACAAAUGAUGUGAUGUGUUUAAAAGAGCAAACAAAGAUCUUGGGUACAAUUGUGAAAAUACAAUAUCUUGGUUUAUGAAAACAAUAGAGCCUGUAUUCUCUCUGCUAAUGAGAUCACUUCUAAAAAUGUUUAUUUUAGGGUGUCAGAGCUAUAAAGGAACUUAGAAAAACUGGAAUAGUGGGUAGUCAAUGUUAUGAGAAAUGUAGACAUGUUGAUGAAUUUUAGCUCAAUGUCAUACCAAAGUUUUAAUUUUUUAAUAUUUUCUUGUAAUUAAAUAUAUUACCUUGUGUAAUUAAUAAUAAUCUUCAAUAAGAGAUACAGUAACACUCUGUUAGUAAUGCUGAGAAAAAAAAGUUCUCAUAUAAACAAAAAGGUGAAUUAGAGGGCCAAUGAAAUUCUUCAAAAUAUGAUCUGUAGAAGUGGAGGCUAAAGAUGAAUGUGUACAGAAUCUGGAUAAUGAAAGUAAAAUUGCCCCCUGUAUGAGCCUUGUGUACUAUAAAACAUCCAUUUCUUAUCCAUGAUCCUGGCCACUUGGGAACAUGGCUGAAGUUAGAAAACAAUACUUUCACUGUACUCAGUAUAAGUGGCCUGAUUUAUCACCUCCCCACUUUUCGCACCAUAGAACAUAUUAGCUGAAGUGAGAAUGAGUACAGUUCUCUUAUUCAUUUGUCAAGAGUAUCAUUCUGUUCAUGUUCUGGUGUAGGAAAUUAAUAUCAUUAGAGAAGAAGAAAAGGUUCUGUUAUUUUCCAAUUCUAGUCAUCAUCCUAGUAUUUCCCUGACUCAAAGUAAUGUAGCAAUUUCAAUUACCUACUGGCUAGUAUUGAGAUGAUUUUACUUACAACUCAUGGAAAUAUUUUGUUUUGUUUAUUUCCAUUUUGGAAUUGGAAUUCUAGAGGAUAUUUAUCUCCCUGUGUUUCUGCUUGACUACUUUCCUUGUGUAAAAAUAUCCAAAUUAUUUGUUUAAGUUCCCCACUGUCAGAAAAGGUUAUGUAAAUGAAUAUGUGACCUAUAUAUAGGAAGUAGUCCCUUAUGGUUUAAUCCCUCUUACAAUCACUGACUUAAUAAAACAAAUCCUUGCAGGAAAUGUGAUGCUGACCUACCUUUCAAAAUAAUGUAUUAAAAAACAGCCCUGAUUGUGUGGCAAUAAUAUGUUGAUAAAAAUCUACUUGUAUCAAAAAAUGCAAGCCAAUUUUGUGUGCCUGUAUAUAUUUGUUUUGUGGAAAUGGCCCAGAUUUAUUUUUAUUUUUCUGAUUUUAGUUUUCUUGCUAACUUCACAUUAAACAAAUAAAUUAGUUAAGUGCGAAGUAAUAUUAUUAGAGGAACGGUUUCAAGAAUGUCUGUGAAAUUGCAUUUUAAUACCCAUUAGACAUGGUUCUUCUUCUCUAUAAACUUCUCUCCAACAUUGAAAAUGCAAUUCUGCAGCAUUAAGCAAAAGGCAUAUUUGAAAUAAAGCUUGAUUUUCAAUCACUGAGCUAAACCUAUUUCAAAUAAACACCAGAAUUCAAUUAAAUAGGAGUAAACUCUUCAGCUUGACCCACUACCAUUUCAAUGCUUCGUAUUCUGAAAGUUUUAAUAGGGAACACAAGACUUGAGUUGAAUCUGAUUUGGAGAAUCCGAAUGAUCUGGCUGACCGGAAAAAUGAUAAGAGAUGGGGAGAAUGAUUGCUCUUUGGGAGAUAAAAGUUUUUGAGAAACAAGUUAGUAGAGAAACGCUUUCGAAACGCUGAUGCUGACAAAUGUGAAGCAGGUUCCCGGUGCGCUGAUUACCAAUUUGUCUGAGUCCAGUGAAACAGAACACUCACAUACAGCACAAGUUAUAGGAAGCAGAUUUAUCACUUACAGAUAGGCAAUGAGGGACAACAGAAGCCUAGGAUGCACCACAAGCCAGUCUCCCAUGGCUCAGGAAAGCUACCCAGGGUGGAUCAAGUCUCUGCUGUGCAUGCCCAAUUACACCACAGUGGAGGGACCCUCAAUGGCAGCCUGCCCCAAGUCAUACACCUCAGGGUCACAUUAACCACUGGACUAAAUUGUUGAAGAAUACCCUGUUCUGGGAAGAUGAGGGAGCUGCAAAAGAGCCUAUAGUAUUCCAGCCACUUCCUCCUUACCUCAGGAUUUUACAUUCCCAGAACAUCCUAGUUAUUCUUGAAACCUACAAGCAAAACGGGGAACUGGGUUGGUCCAAGGCCACCCAAAGAACAGUCUUGUAACAAGGAAGCAAUCAUUCUUGAGAAAGCAGAAAGGCCCCAAAUUGGCUUCAGGAAGACCCAUGGGUCUUUUUAUCAAUUUUGUUUGAAUACUCCCAGAGGCAGGUGGCAUAACACCAUUGCAAUCCAGAAGGCAAAUAAUCUAUGAAUAUAUGCCCAGUUGUCUCCAGGAAGUAAGAAAUUUACCUUGUCUACACCCAUGGUUUUAUAUGCUGCCCAUAUAUUAAUAGAGGGAAGAGGGAGAGGGUCCUCAGUAAUCAGUAAUUGUAAACAUUCAUGCUUGUUGGAAUGGUCUUCCCAUGGCCCAGUACUUUCUGCUGCAAAAGAGCACCCUCAGUAUGAUGGACAAAUUGCUAGUCAAAUUGAGAAAUUUGAGUAAAGUCAGAGAGACUUUGUCAAAAAAAAAAUCCCUACUGGCACAGAAGCUCUGUAGAGAAGACAUACUCUAUAUAGAACACAGAAUUAAGAUUUACCCAGUAUGGUAUGCCUACAAUUACAUAAGUUGGAAUUUCCUUGGGAAGUGAUUUUGGCAAAUGUUGAAGAGAAAAUCAGCACCUAUUUAUAGAAACCAGAAUUUAAAAAAAAAUCCUUUGAGUGGGGUGGUCUUUCUCAAACUUGAAGAGAUAACCAAGCCAGAUUUGAUUAGAUAAUUUAAAAGUUUAUCCAUGUGCCCAGCUCUCUGCACAAACACCCUAAAGAAAGUAAAUUCUUUGGGAGAGGCAACUGUAUAAUUUUUAAAGCUUAGGCUAAAUAUGAUGUAGUGCCAAAACUACAGAUUUUUUGAGAAGUUUAGAUGUCUAUCUAAAAAGCAUUUUAAAGUAGGUUUGAAAAAAAUUCAGGAUUAUUUUAAGAAUGGACAUCUCUAUGAGAAGGGUUAAGAGGAACAUUGAAAACAUUGCCCUGCAAGGUUAUCCAAGGCAUGUAUCAAUGUCUCAGUGAACAGUCACUUGCUUAGAAGCCUUUGGUAGUGAGGAUUUGCAUAUUAAAUUACUGGACACCUACCGGAAAGCAGGAGAAGCAUCCAAGAUAUGCAUAUUGAUUCUGGAAACGCUGAAAUAGCAAGUUGAAGAGAGAAGGGGACUAUCACUGGGAACAUCAUAUCAGAAUUCAUCAGAGAAAAUGCCAACAGGAGCUGUCUUUUACUUAAUAUAGUGAGAAAAGUGUGAGCUUCCAAUGACAACAGGACCAGGCACAGCUCCUGUGGAGAGCACGCAGAAGAUAGGAGCAAAUCUUUAGGCCAUCCUCUUCUCCUGUUCCAAUGGAUGGUUACACAAGGAUGGGAGUUGGGUGGGGUAAAAAAUGCAAUGGGAAAUAUUAUCCUACUUUGGGAGGUGAAGGAUAAUCAGAUAAUGAUUUUCAAAACUGAAGGGAGACAGAGGCAAGUAGAAAAUAAGGCAAAGAGAAUUACCUAGAAUGUUUACUCUUAUGUAUAGCUUGGUUUUAUGACCUGGCUGGUUGUGAUUCCCAUAUAUUAAUAAGUGGGUUCAUGGUCAGGACUUACAGGGCCAGGGCCAGGGUGAAGACUUUUAACAUGAAAAUUAUUUGAUUUAACCUCAGAAUUUAAUGUUACAGAAAUUCUCAAAGAUUGUAUCAAGGUACAUUGCUCAGUGUCAUAGUACACCUACUACUAGAUAGGAUUCUUUCAGGGACAUAUGUCUGGUGUGUAAACUAACAUUCUUUCUCUGUUUGCUAGUUGCUCUGAGGUUACUACAGCAGCCCCUGAUUUAUCUAUGUGGACAAUAUCCACAGAAUUUAAGCAUUAUGGUCCUGUUGCCUUGUGAUAAUGAAAAAGCAUCUAACUCUACAUUACUAGAUGUCAAUUUUGCUACAAAACUUGGAUUUUGACAAUCACACUUCCACCUUAUACACACUUGGGCAAGAAAGUUUCUAUUAGAGCCCGGAGAAAUACCACCUACAGACAAGAUCCUUAGAUUUCAGAGAUUAAAGAUGUUGUAAAGCAGGGACUCCCUAUCACCCAGUGGAGCAUGAACAAGUUGAAAUUACACGCCCUUUCUGAAUGAAGAAUGUAGCCCAUGCAUUUGUUAGCUCAGUGGUACUUGUGGUCACAGAUAAACCCCACAAUACCAGUGUUUUAAAACAGAUAAAAUUCAUUUCUUAUUCUUACGAAGUUGAAAAUAUAGUUAUGUGCUUGAGCUGAUUCACAUCAGAUCACAAAAACUGACUAGUUAAUUUUCAGUAAUUGUGUGAGCCAAUUGUUAGUCAUAGUCAUUAUUUUAAAAUAAACACAUAAUUAAAUUAUAUUAAAAACAAAUCUAAUUAAUAAUCAAAAUCCAUCACAUCCUAAUAAUGCUACUAAUAUCUCUGCUGUAGUGGUUAUUAACUUCUAUUGUAUUUGUAUAAUAGAAAUUUUAUGAAAUGGCGUGAUAUGCACAUCUCUUCCUAACUCUGUAUUCAGUGCUGAGACCUUAGCAUGAACACGGUCCAAUUUAAAAGUCAUCAAAGGCAACCUACUUACUAAAUAUUUUGUCACAUAACAUAGGUCUCCAUCUUCCCAUCCUCCAACAUCAAUUUCCUUGUAAUCUGCACCCCAGUGCCUAGGUCAAUAUUAUCAUUUUUAGGUUUUGGCCGGCAAUAUCACAUUCUAACUCAUUUCCAUAUUAGUUAGGAUAACAACAUCUACAGCAACUCCAAGACAUCAGUGAAUUAAUAAAUUUGCACUUUAUUUCUGGCUCACAUAAAUCCACAAAUGUUGCUAUUCUCCUCCAAAUGACUCUUUGCAUCCUGAGGCUCAAUCUUUGACACCUGAUUUCCAAAUUUCCCCAGGGAUCCAUCCUAUCUAGCCAGAAUGGAAAAAAAAAAAAAAAAAAGCAAAGAGGAUCGUGUGGGAAGGAUCUAUGGACCAGACCUGAGGAUAGCACAUACCAUCUUUCUCUUGUAUAGAACUCAGUUUCAGGCCACAUGGAUGCUGGGAAAUAGAGACAUCUGUGUGCACAGGUAGAAAAUAACAUAGUUCUAGUGAGGAGCCAGCAUGCCUGUGCACACCCUCAGAUGUGUGAACUCAGAGUCACACGUAGUAACUUUCUUACCUAUCAACCAAUAUCUCAUCUGAUACCACCCAAGCCAACUCAAAUAGUCACGACAUCAGUUAAUGCCAUCAUUAUCUGGUACUUAGGAAAUUGAGCUCAGAGAGGUGAAGUGACUUGCAACAGUCAAAAUGGAACUGACAGAAGCCAUGGUAGAAGCUGUGCUCAUAAACAUAUUUGGUUGAAGUAUGUACUCUGCCUCAGCUUACCUCCCUUCUUCCUUAUCCAAACAUGCUGGAGUAACCUUAGCAUAUCCCUGGAGUUUAAGGGCUAUGCUGAAAUAAUCGCUGUUCUGUGUCAUCUCUGGUUAAAUUUCUCCAAGCUGGCUCAGGACUCCCAAAAACCUCUCUUUCAGCAGGUAAAGCUCUCAAGACGUAAGAUAGUAUGGCAAGAAAUUAGUAGGGAUAGAAGAAAUUAUUUAGUUUCAUCUUAAAUGUUUAUAGCAUAUUGCAUCAUUAAACUUUUACAUGAAUUUGUUUGGGAUAGUUUUACUAAUGGUAAAAAUAAUAUCUUUACAUUGAGCUAAAUUUGCCUCCAUGUAAUUCCUAUGGAUUGUUUCCUAACUGAAUUGCAGGGAAGAAUAAUGUAAGUGUAAUUCUUCCAAGUUACAAAUUUUUAAAUAUUUAGAAGUGACCAUCUCACCCCAGUUUUCUGUUUUACAUGAAAUAAUUACAGGUCCUUUACCUGUCUAUUUUAUGGCAUCAGUUCUGCAGCCUUUAUCUUCCUCAAUACCUUUUGAAAAUAUGGUACCUAGAAGGUAAUUUAAUUUCCCAGGUGUGCUCUGAGCAUUAGAUUAGGAAUGCUCUCCAUUAUGGACUAUGCAUUCUUCUUUAUUUCUUUUUCUCCCACUGUGGUUCCUCUGGGAAGGCAUUGCUUUUUUUCAUCAUAGAAUUAUUAUUACUAUUUCAACACUGAACUUCCUUUCUCAUUAUAUGUUUGGCCCUGAAUACUGUCUCCUCCGUAUCCCUAUUUCUACAACAUCAUUCACAGUAAUGAGAUCUAUUGUUACUCAUCUGGUUAUUAAAUCAGCUCCUGUUGUCUAUAGGUUUGUAUUUUCAUCAUUAGUUCUGUAUCCUAAAUACUUCAAGUAAGCAAUUCCAUUUGCCCACAGUAAUCAAUAUGCAUUUAAUAUUUCAUUGGUUUUUACCACUAUCAGUUAACCAUGAUUUUACCAACUAGUACUUCCUUAAUUACAAAGUACUAAAAAAGAUCUUUUUCUUAAUCUUUGGCAACAUCAAUAUCAGCAUAUUUGAUUAUGAAUAACAAUAUAUUUAAAGAUAAAGAUGACUUCCUGAUUUAAUGCUUGAUUCAAUUUCCUCUCUAGACCCAGGAGGGAGUUAUUUAAGAGAUCCCAAUUAGGAAUGAUUUGAAUUAAUUGCAGCAACAUAACGUACACACUGCAUUGCAUUCCCAAUUAAGUUAGAAAGAGAUGGAAGAUAUUCUGCUGACAGCAUGUCUUUAUUGGGCUAAUAGUCAUUAUUUACGUAUCAUCAAUUCUUUAUCUAAUGUCAAGUAUUUUGUUUCUUCAGAACACAAAUAAGCAUUAUUAAGAAAAAACAAUACCAAUGAAUAAUAAAUUUAGUGAAUAAGAAUAAGAUUGGAAAAUGCAGCAUAAAUUGACGAAUCCUCAAGUACCCAAAUCUUUACUUCUGUCUGCACAUAAAAAUUAGAUGUCAACACUAUGUAGGAUUUGGAUGACUCCCUGGAGCCCAUUCUGACCUCAGAUAAAAGCUAAAUAUAUUGAGCCUUAAUUGAUUUCCAUUUGAUACUGAAGUUAAAAUGUAUCAUGGAGCAUGUGGAGAUUCUUACAGUGUUUAGAAUAUUCAUAAAACUAAAUUAUUCUCAGAGGGAAAAAUGCUUUAAUAAUGACACAUUAGAAUGGUAAGUAUUCUUUUAGUAAUAAUAAUCAUUGGCUCUUAAUCAUAAAAUAUUAGCUUCAAACUAUUACACUAUUUUUAAAAGAUUGUUUUUAUUGUGUUUAAUAUCGUUUUCCAAUUUAAUUCUAAUUUUCGUUUGAUGUUUUUAUGUAAUAUGAACAAACAUAUGACUUGAAUUAACAACAUCAAUACUUUAAAUCUCAGAUUUGCUACUUGUUUUUGUGUGACAGUGUAUACGUCAGUUUAGCUUGCAUGAUUCUCAUUUUAUUCAUGUGUAAAUUUAAGAAUAUACCAUUUCUUUCACCAAAUGUUAGUUGCUGAAUAAAUGCAUAGAUGUGUGUGUGUGCACACACAUGCAUGUGCACAGAGGUGGGGGGAGAGAGAAAAGAAAGGGAGAGAUUGUUAUUUUGUUUUGGAUCAAAAUAUUUCUCCCACAGGAUGUUCUUUGCACAAAGGCAAAUCCCUAUAUGUAAAUGGUAGAACACUUGAAUAAGAUACUGUGGUUUUAUGGGAGAAUUUUAAUCAAAUAAUUUAAUUUGAUAAUAUGUGCCUAUUGCACGUAUAUAGAAUUAGACUAAUCCCUCCUCCACAUGACCCCUCUGAUUGAAGUCAAUUCCAAAUUCUAGCUGAUACCUACAAAAUGUAACUCAAUGGAUUUGAAAAAACUCAUUUUAAAAGAAAUCAAUUAAUUUUUUUUCAAAAAUAUAUCUAGAGAGCCAAAUUAUCAGUUUGAUCCUCCCAUCAAUUCACCAGUUGACUGGUUGUGGUUGUCAGUUAUGCAGGCCUAGACUUAAUUGAAGCUGAAUAUAGUGUUUUUCUGAAAGCGGAGGAAGCCAUCCUGGAUCCCAGAAGCUAUUAUAGUUUCAUUACAUGUAGUUUUGUGAGGCAAGUACCCAGACUAAUGAAGUCUAAUUUCCUGCAGAUUAAAAAAGAGAAGUGAUAAGAUAUCACUGAUGUUAGGUAAAGAAAUUCUGAAUAUAGCACAUUUAUUCUGUUAAAUUACUCAUGAACACAUGAAAACGUGGUUGCAAGCUAACGGGAGGGCCACUAGUAUUUUCUUCCUUUGAGAGCUGUGGGGGUGUGGGAAAUUCAAGAGCCCAUUCUGUAAUCUUAAAGCCUUUCAAGUAAAAACUCUGUGGGUGAUCUCAUUUCAAGAUAAAGUUAAACUAAUAUCACAGGUCAAAACUUGCCAGCCAAGAAACCUAAAGAAAAUAUACAAUUAUCACUACCAGGAAUGCACGUAAUAUUUGUAACCUAGAAAACCACUAAAGAAGAAUGCUAUUUGUAUUGAGCUUAACAUUGCAUUCAUUUUGAACAAAUGAACAAUAUAUGGGUAUAAGUACCUACAUUCUAAAAAUAUAUCACACCUACAAAUUUAUAGCACUAGGAAAUAUCAGUAGAAAAUCAGCUGUCAGUUUACUAGAAAUAUCAGGUAAUUCAGACUGUCCAAUGUUAAAAUUAGUCUUAAAAAGCACGUUAUUGCUAUCAUAAACCAUUAAAGGUGGUUUAUAACCAGGGGAAAAAUCCUUUAAAAUCCUUCACUACUACAAUUCACAAGCCAUUGCUACAAUUCACAACUCGUUUGUUAGAGUCUUAACCGCCCUCAGCUUUGCCUUGGGCCAUUAACUAACAAACCAAUCAUUAACUGCUAGUAAUGACCACUUUCCCAGGGAUUAUUGCUUAAUUCAACUCUUGUGUGGGAUCCAUUAUUUUCUGAGAUGUCAAAAUAACUAUGCAUUAAGACAUUUUUCUGUAAUAAAAGCACCUCCUGAAAUAAACAAUGUGAAUGUCAGAGAAUUAAAUUGUUCAGUGUACACACUAUUUAAAAUACAUUACUUUAAUGAACAAUUCUGAUGUUUCGAGGGAACAUUCUCAUUUUUUCGCUCUCCUGAGCAUAUCUAUCAUGUAACUUAGAUGCAGAAUUAAUAUGUAUUUUUCUUCAGUAAAACACACAAUGUCAAGACAUUUAUAUUAGUAAACUGUGUUCUAUAUUCAUCUGAGUAAGGCACAUUUGAUUAUUAGCAUUCUGCUCCUGAGAAACAAGGCAGGUUUGCUUGUCUGUUGCCAUGGAAAUAAAUUAGGAAGGAUAACCUGCCUACUUAUCAAUUUUUAUUAAUGCAAUCAGCCUACCUGCUUAACCCAUAAGUAACAAUAGCACAUUUAAACUAAGCCAAUAAAGCCCUGUAACUCUAGGGGUGCCAGUUAAAGUAAAUAGGAUAGAAAAUUGCUGAAAUAAAAAGUCUGAGUUAUGUGUCAUAGUUAUGGGCCCCAUUAAUAUUACAGGAUAAAGAAUGUUGCCAUUGAGAGGGCUCUAAUGGUGGAAUUACCUUCAACUAACAUUUACUGAGAGGAGGAGAGGCAACUGAGACAAGAAGUCAAGAGAUUUAAAGUCAGCAGUUCUCAAGGAAAAUGCUACCCUGGAAAGAAAAUAUAACCUUAAAGUCUGGCAACUGCUCUGGACUUUUUCCUGAGAUUUUCUUUCAAGAAUAAUUAGCUUUCGAAUUCUUAGACAAGAUAUAUUCUGAAAUAUAUCCAAAUCGCCAGACUUUAAAAGGUCAUUAACAAAUCCAAUGAAUGAGGGCAUAGUAAUGCAUUUAGAGAUCAAAAAUGGAGCAAGAAUUCAAGUAUAUAUUCAGCUUUCUGAAACCCCCUCUGUCUGCUCUAUCAACAAUCACCAAAAGGAGACUGAACAGGAACUGCCUAUCCAAUUCCUACACUGAGCACAAAACAAGGAUAAUAGCAAAAGAAGAGCGAAAUAAAUCCAAAUCA
Long non-coding RNA from Homo sapiens (human), 30903 nucleotides. RefSeq lists it as uncharacterized. Lineage: Eukaryota; Metazoa; Chordata; Mammalia; Primates; Hominidae. The record is from RefSeq and is a predicted model, not a curated record. The transcript is spliced from 7 exons.